This is a long non-coding RNA of Dalotia coriaria, 809 nucleotides long. RefSeq lists it as uncharacterized. Lineage: Eukaryota; Metazoa; Arthropoda; Insecta; Coleoptera; Staphylinidae. The record is from RefSeq and is a predicted model, not a curated record. The transcript has 3 exons.
CCUGCGCUCUGCUCUUCGCGACUUUCCAGCAGAAAUGCGGCGAACGUGGCUAAUCAUUUUCGUGGUGUUAAAUGUGUACACAGCGGCGAACGGGACCAGCAACGACAUUGUUGGCACGAUGCGCUGCCGGCUUCUGUGCGAAGAGGCCGGCGGUUAUGGCGCUCAGCUCGACACCCAGGCGUUCUGCAGGUGCAGCAUUUUGAAGAAGCUGAGCGACAAGCAACAGUUAAGAGUCCAGGAGCUGAGCACUUACUAUAAUUUACCGGUAGUGUUCAAACGGGAGCACAGUCAUUACAAAGUCAAGCGACAGUUAGAUGAGAACUUGUUAGAAGAUUGGCGUGCGAAGAUGGACGAUCACUGGGCCGAAACAGCAGAAAACUUAAAGGCGUGGAGAGAGCAGCAGGCGAGAGAAAAUCCCCUUUGGGCAAUAUGGAGGAACAAGCGGAGAACUUGAAAGCAUGGCAUGAGCAACAAGCGAGAGAGAAUCCGUUAAUGACCGGUCUUGAAGAGCAGGCGGAAAAUUUGAAGCAGUGGCAUAAACAACACAUCGAAGAAAAUCCUCUGAUUAGUGAUUUGGAGGAGCAUGCUGCUAAUCUUCAGGCGUGGCACAAUGACAACGUAGAAAUGAUCCAGGAGGGUCUCCAAGAACAGAAAGAUAAAAUCGAAGAACACAUUGGUAAUCUGAAAGAAUUAGGAGAUGCUAAGGUUGGAAGCAUUGGACCACAGCUUGAAGAGCAAGCAAAACAGCUUAAAAACUUCCAUGAAGAACAUAUAGAACCUCUUUUGGGUGCUCCUUUACCUUCGUUUGA